Molecule: ribosomal RNA, 292 nt
Filed under: uncultured bacterium
Lineage: Bacteria
Description: partial 16S ribosomal RNA
Rfam family: Bacterial small subunit ribosomal RNA
Source: RNAcentral
GUGUCAGCCGCCGCGGUAAUACGUAGGGGGCAAGCGUUAUCCGGAAUCAUUGGGCGUAAAGCGCGUGUAGGCGGUUCAGUAAGUCCGCUCUGAAAGCCCAGGGCUCAACCCUGGGAGGCGGGUGGAUACUACUGGACUAGAGUACGGAAGAGGAGAUUGGAAUUCCUGGUGUAGCGGUGAAAUGCGCAGAUAUCAGGAGGAACACCAACAGCGAAGGCAGAUCUCUGGGACGUAACUGACGCUGAGACGCGAAAGCGUGGGGAGCAAACAGGAUUAGAAACCCCAGUAGUCC